CUGUGAGCGCAAUCAGGCCGCCUUGUCCUUCUCCGAGCCGGGGUGUUUCUGGGUACCGCGAGAAUUGCUCUGACUGCAGGUCACUAUGCCGGUAGGGCCGGGAUGGCUGAGGAGCUGCUGGUAGGCUCAGCCCUUCGGCCCUCUUUGACGAAAUGGCACCCCGAGACCGUCCGGUAGUGGCACCUCAGGCCGCCAUGCGCAAACGCGGGGCUCGAAAGCGCCUCAAGUUUCGGGCCGAAGACGUCUGCUUAGAGCGGAUGACCGUGGCCGACUAUGCAAAUUCGGAUCCUGCCGUGGUGAAAUCCGGACGCGUGAAAAAGGCUGUGGCCAAUGCGGUGCAACAAGAAGUGAAAUCACUCUGUGGUUUGGAAGCAUCUUUCGUACCCACUGAUGAAAUACUAUCUGUGGCAGAGUCCUAUGACAGUGGCGAUGAAAUGGAUUCUAAAUAUUUCACCACUGAUGAAUAUUUCAUGACUGAUAGAAAAAAGAAAAGCAAGAGGCAUAAAGAAAGCUCUGAGAGUGUGGUAGGCAAAGAAUAUCCAAUUGACAUAUGGUUGAUGUUGGCAUCCUAUAUACGUCCAGAAGACACUGUGAGUUUUUCUCUAAUUUGCAAAAGGGCCUGGAUUGUUACUUGUACAGCUGUAUUCUGGACCAGACUUUAUAGAAGGCAUUAUAAUAGGAGUGCCUCCCUCCCAAUCCGUUUACAGCCAGAAUCAAUGGAAAAGAUGUACUGCCUUCGUGCAUGUGUAAUUCGUUCAUUAUACCAUACGUAUAGACCUUUUAUUUCCCGGAUAGCCAGAAAUCCAACAAUCCCGGAGGCUACUCCAAGCAGUCUAAAAAAUUCAAAAUGUAGCUUCUGUGGGACACUGGAGCUGUUGUGGUGUCAGCAAAAGUUGCCCUUAAAGACAGAUCCACUGUUUGGAGCAGCAUACCAGUUGGUACACAUCUGAAGGGUAGGACAGCUGGCAUGUGGAUUUCUAUGUCUUAGGAAAUUCUUAAGCUACUUUCCUCCUUUUAACUAAUAUUCCAGGUUUCACAGACAAGAGGGCUAAUUCUACUAGCUGCAUCCCUCUGAAUCUAAUGCAGGUAGUCCUCUUUAGUGACUGCCUCGUUUAGCAACUAUUCACAGUUAUGACAGUAAUAAAAAGGUAACUUUGUGACCAAUCCUUGCAUUUAUAACUUUCUCAUGUCUGUAAAGCAAAGGAAAGCUGAAGUAAGAUUAUAAGCAUAGUUACAAUUUCUCUUAGUGACCAUUUUGCUUGUGGUCACUAAAUAAGGAUUACUUGUAUGCAGCUGUAAUAAUUUGCUUUAUAAAGAUGAGAUGCUUACUCCUAUAGUUUAAAAAAAAGUAAUAUUGCUAUGCAUGUCUAGACUUUCUUUUAUCAAAAGAAUAUUCUAUCAGUUGUUACGUUAGCAAGAUCUGUCUCUGCUUAUUAAUUUAUUUAAACUUGUAUGCCACUCAGUUCCCAAUACCUCUGGCUUACAACAAUCAACAAAAAGGAAAUUAUAAUAAAACCAAUAAAAGGAUAAACGAUUAAGCUUGGAUUUUAUUGAUAUAUUCACUGUAGAAUAGCUUUUGUCAUAAGAGGUGAAUGUUGCUUUUCAAAUCUAAUGGAUGUUUAAUAAAGUUGUGAAUGGGCAUCUUGUAUGAUAGUUAUCUUCUCCAUAAAAAUCUGGAAUGUCUGCCCUAUUCUGGUUCCAGUAGUUUCUUGAUUUUUUUCUUGAUAAAGCAAAUAAUGAGCAAUUCUUAGCAAUAUUUUGAAAUCAUUAUUUCUAGAUUCUUUAGAUUCAAUUUGGAAAUAUUUGUUUAAGUUCAUCUUUCAUUUUAUUUCCAUGUAGUAUCUAUUUCUGUUCAGAAGAGGAAGUGCACAUUAUAAUACAAUGAUAUCCUUUUUUGAAAUUGAUGCCAAUGUUAUUUAUUUUACCCUCAAAGUGAUUUGUUAAAGUAUAGAAACUCCAGACUGGAUUAUUUGAAUACGUUUAUGUUCAAUAAGCCACAAUCUUCAUUCCAAAGAGGUUGGAAGCCUAGUGCUUUAUUGCUUUAUGUCUGUAUAACACUAUGUCCACAGACCACAACUCUUUCUCUUUUGCUCAACUAGUGCCUGCUUUUCUGGUCUAAAAGGAUUAACCAGCAGUCUUCACUGUGGGAAUUCAGCUUCAAAUUCCAAAGGCAGUCUCCCAAGUUGAAGAAUAAACG
Non-coding RNA from Thamnophis sirtalis, 2197 nucleotides. Lineage: Eukaryota; Metazoa; Chordata; Lepidosauria; Squamata; Natricidae. The record is from RefSeq and is a predicted model, not a curated record.